UUGGCUUCUUCGAAGAUCCUUAUACCUUUUCCUCCGUGGUAUAAUGAUUCAAAGAGAAACCUAGAUAAAUGAUUUCACAGCUAAUUUGGCUUUUACUCUUCAGUAACAAUAGGAAAAUUACGCUAUGGGAGUAGAACUGGCGAUUGUUAAUUGCCAGCUAUAAUUAGCCUGAUACAUCU
Molecule: small nucleolar RNA, 179 nt
Filed under: Debaryomyces hansenii
Lineage: Eukaryota; Fungi; Ascomycota; Pichiomycetes; Serinales; Debaryomycetaceae
Source: RNAcentral